RNAcentral lists this ribosomal RNA (449 nucleotides) under uncultured bacterium. Its description in RNAcentral is "partial 16S ribosomal RNA". It matches the Rfam family "Bacterial small subunit ribosomal RNA", at positions 29 to 523 of the family's 1533-position model. The record is from RNAcentral.
AACGAACGCUGGCGGCAGGCUUAACACAUGCAAGUCGAACGCAUCCUUCGGGGUGAGUGGCAGACGGGUGAGUAACGCGUGGGAACGUGCCCUUCAGUUCGGGAUAACCCAGGGAAACUUGGGCUAAUACCGGAUACGUGCGAGAGCAGAAAGAUUUAUCGCUGAAGGAUCGGCCCGCGUCUGAUUAGCUAGUUGGUGGGGUAAUGGCCCACCAAGGCGACGAUCAGUAGCUUGUCUGAGAGGAUGAUCAGCCACAGUGGGACUGAGACACGGCCCAAAGUACUGCGGGAGGCAGCAGUGGGGAAUAUUGAGCAAUGGGCGCAAGCCUGAUCCAGCAAUGCCGCGUGAGUGAUGAAGGCCUUAGGGUUGUAAAGCGCUUUCGUCCGGGACGAUAAUGACGGUACCGGAAGAAGAAGCCCCGGCUAACUUCGUGCCAGCAGCCGCAGUAA